Molecule: ribosomal RNA, 329 nt
Filed under: uncultured eukaryote
Lineage: Eukaryota
Description: partial 18S ribosomal RNA
Rfam family: Eukaryotic small subunit ribosomal RNA
Source: RNAcentral
CCCUUAGAUGUUCUGGGCCGCACGCGCGCUACACUGAUGCAUUCAACGAGUCUAAAACCUGCUCUGAUAGGGGUGGGUAAUCUUUUGAAUGUGCAUCGUGAUUGGGAUAGAUGAUUGCAAUUUUUCAUCUUCAACGAGGGAUGCCUAGUAAACGCAAGUCAUCAGCUUGCAUUGAUUACGUCCCUGCCCUUUGUACACACCGCCCGUCGCUCCUACCGAUUGAAUGAUCCGAUGAAUAUCAUGGAUUGAGGAUGUAAGCAGGUUCGCCUGUCUUCAUCUUCGAGAAGUGAAGUAAAUCUUAUCAUUUAGAGGAAGGAGAAGUCGUAACA